UGCGCCUGCCGAAAGAGGCAGCCUUGCCACGAAAGGACGGUUUUGCAGGCAACCCGACAAGGUACCCUCUCGUGAUCCGCAAUUUUGCGGAUUCAAAAUCUUUC
This 104-nucleotide small RNA is filed under the name bovine gut metagenome. Its description in RNAcentral is "RT-5 RNA". It matches the Rfam family "RT-5 RNA". Rfam says of the family: Clostridium (Firmicutes). Environment (Cow rumen (57)) The record is from RNAcentral. RNAcentral also lists the same sequence under 1 other name.